GUUGUCAGUUCGCAUCCAAUCCAACUAGAAAGCAGUUAACGAGCAGUCUGUGUUUUUUCGCUUGCGGUUAAAAGCCACGAGCUUAAGCAAAAAAAAAAAACCGCCGCCCAACAACAACAGCAUAUUUUGUAAUCCCUCCCAGUCUAUGAGUGUGUGUGUGUGAGCAGCAAUCUAAAAAAUAUAUUUAAAUAAUCACACUACAAAAUCAAGAAACCCACACAAGUUUUGCUCAAAACAACAACAUACCCACAAACAAAACAAGUGCAAAAUAACAAGGAAAAUAAGUAAAACAGUGUUAGUUAACAGCAAUAACAACAAGAAUUGGCGAUCAACAAAUUCCACCGGCAAAAUCAACAAAUUCUUAAAUCGCAGUCAACAAGGAGCAACGAUUUCCCAUUGCUAACUUUUGGCGGGAAACAACUGAUCGCGAAGCUCACCAAUAGGCUUCGAUUUUUUUUGGGCUGGCGAGGAGAACUUGGAAGAGCC
Molecule: non-coding RNA, 486 nt
Organism: Drosophila suzukii
Lineage: Eukaryota; Metazoa; Arthropoda; Insecta; Diptera; Drosophilidae
Source: RefSeq, a predicted model, not a curated record